Molecule: long non-coding RNA, 753 nt
Organism: Ruditapes philippinarum (Manila clam)
Lineage: Eukaryota; Metazoa; Mollusca; Bivalvia; Venerida; Veneridae
Exons: 3
Source: RefSeq, a predicted model, not a curated record
GAUAGAAAUCCCGUAUGAGUGCAAUUUCUAAAUGAUAACCAAACUCUUGCUCUUAUGUUUAUAGAUUCACAUUUUCAUAAGUCGUAUCAUAUUUCUCGUAGGGAAAAAUUAUAACAUUUCGAACUUUUACUCUUUUCACAGAUUAUUUACCCGUGGCGAAUUUAUCUGCAGCUUCAACAGAGAAUACAACGGCGGUGCUUACUUGUAUUUGCCAUUGUAACCCACCUUGUCAAAUAUUUUUUGUUACUUAUUCCUAUCACACACCUGACAUUGUUUUCAAUAAGACAUAUCCUUGUGAACCAGAUCUAACUCGUGAAAAUCGAACAUUGUGUGGCGUUGUAACAACAAUAGGAAUAACAAAAGAAAGUAACGGUCGCGAAGAAAACCAAUGCAAAUUCCAUUACAAAAACCUUGGGAACAUCUUAACACUUACUCCAAAAAAUAUGUUUUACUUUCCACCAACAUAUGUCAACAUUACUGCAAGUAAAGAUGAUAAAACCUUAACCCUAAACUGCACAACCGAUUCGUCAAACCCUGUAGCUAUGUUAAAUUGGUAUAAGGGGAAUGAAGAUGUAGCCUCAACUAACUCUAUUAUCACAAGUAAUUAUCAGCCAAUCAUUGCUGACUCGGAGUAUAAUGGUAAAAGUAUAUCGCAAUCUCUCGACAUUAACGUAUACAAUGUCAAAGAUGAAGAGGUGGCUUUCUGUUGUGCAAAACAAUUGAAUACCGAGAUCUGUACAUCUAUUCCAGUAG